AGUAACAAUGUCCUUAAUUGAUAAAAAUUUAAUUAUUUCAAAAUUAAAUUGAAUUAUUUGCUGCAAAUGUGGCACUAUUAGUUUCGGAAUCACUUCCGUAUUGUGGGCUUAGAAGCACCAUAUUUCUAAACGUGUCACCAGAACAAAUCACUUCGCCAAUACCUGUGGCACUAGCCUAAUUAGGGCACUGCACUCAAAUAACUAACAAAUUCGUAGGGUUUAUGAGAUAAUUUAAUUCGAUAAUUCGGCACCUCUGCAUUAUCACGAUUAAACUGACAAAUUUUUCAAUACAAACUUAAGUUACACCACCUCAAACACAAUUAUUUCGAUUUCUUAAUUAAGCUUUGUUUAUUUAUUCUGAGUCAUAAUGAGGUUGGAAACGUGACAAAACAUAGAAAAUGAUGACCCGGUCAACUCUCCCCUUGAUAAAUGUUUAAUCUGAAUAGAAUUAAAACUCAGUUUCUUACAAUUGUGAAUAUUAACAUUUACCCGCAAAUAUAUGGCGACAAUUUUAAAAAUUAUAUCGGAAUUUUUAAUAUAUAAAUAUUUACUUUUAAACAAAAUUCGCAUUCGUGCCUUUAUACAUACAAUAAAUUUACAACUGGCAUCACUUUCUAUAUGGAAACAGAAAAGAGAUCAGUGCUUACAAGUGUUAAUUUGGGUCCCAUUUUUAAUUAUUUCAGUAUCUAUAUAAACAGAGUCGAUUCUAACACCACUUCACUCCUCUUCUUCUAUUGAAAAUACAAGAUUGAAAAUCAAUUUAUUAAUUCUCUCUGCAAAUAUGAUGAUAUCACAUUUCUUUAUUAUUAUAAAUCUUGCCGCACAUGUCAUUUGCCAUCCUCGUGUUGCGGACGAGAAGGGAGAGGUUUGCAACAAAAGUGGUGCAGUAUGUUUAUCCAAUGCAGAAUGCUGUCCUAACCAGGAAUUCCAUCGUUUAAACGUCAAUUGCCUUCAAUGUUAUCCUAUUUGUAUGACAAAAAAAAUUUGAAACGGAAAUAAAACUUCGUGAUAAUAUGUAGUACGUAUAACUAUUCUAUGUCAUGUACAAUAAAGUA
Molecule: long non-coding RNA, 1055 nt
Organism: Centruroides sculpturatus (bark scorpion)
Lineage: Eukaryota; Metazoa; Arthropoda; Arachnida; Scorpiones; Buthidae
Exons: 4
Source: RefSeq, a predicted model, not a curated record